This is a long non-coding RNA of Ictalurus punctatus (channel catfish), 1046 nucleotides long. Lineage: Eukaryota; Metazoa; Chordata; Actinopteri; Siluriformes; Ictaluridae. The record is from Ensembl.
AUAAAAGCAUAAUUUUAAGCUGAAUCACUAUACUGCGUUGAUGAACUUUAGGAAUAGUUUGUCCUCGUUAAGUGGAAUCGUGAUAGCCUACCUCAGCUGCUGAUUAAACGUGGAUGUGAAUCGUGUCUUGUGUGAACGAUGAAGAUGAGUGUCUCCCAUUUGGCUACUCAAGUUGUAUGUGUCAUAUCAACUUCUAAAAAGCCCCUCGUGUUUGAAGGUUACUUUGUGCAUCUCCAGGGGCUGUCAGCCAUGGGUCCACUGCAAAAUUUACAGCUCUAAAUCAAAGCAUAUGCCGCCAAUAAGGAAGAAACUCUGAAAACAGGGUGUAUGAUAGUAUCUGGGUGCCCCCUAGCGUAUGGAUAAUUUCUACCUCAAAAUACUCUCUUUAACGUGCAGGAGCCAUCUUAAAUAGAAAACGGGGUCUCCGGCUGUUCGUCUCUCGCUAACGCCAAAAGCGACGUGCGCUCAUUUUUAAUCUGAUUAUAGCUUUUGAGACUCGUUUCUAAUUGAAACGGACAUGGCACAGCUAUGGGUGUGCGUACACAUUUUUUAUUCGUGCAUGUUGCAGAAGAAGCGGAAUGUUCUUUGCGUAUUUUGCAGUCAGAUGUUUUUAAAAAGUGAGCUCUGUACUCUGCGAGCCAGAAGUCUUACGCAAAACGGACACGUAGGAAAAAACAACGAUACGUUUUGGAAUUUACUGAAAGCCAUUUUUGACUGCGGUGCUGAUGUCAGCAUUCAACUAUGAACUCACCUCAAAGUGAAUGUUCAUUGCUUUGACCUUUUCAUUGUGACAGUGGAGUCUGAGUCCUGAGGUGAGGAAUCCAAAUGACCACCGUUUUUCAAAUGGAAGAGAGUGGGGCUCUUGUCUUCCUAGAUGGCAGGGAGAUUUGUAAGAAGAUGCAUCAACUCCAAUUCUUACAUCUGUUUUGAAUGAUUUUAAUAAAUGUCACCUGAAUUUCAUGCAAUUGCUUGUGUACUUUGUGAGCAUUUUAGUCGAAUUUUAGCAUGCAACCAAACUGCAUUUUAUGAUAAUUAUAGGGAAAAAG